CAAAGGAUAGAAGUAGUAAAACUUCAUGCAUCUUCAUUUUAGAAAAGCUUUUGGCAAUGUUCCUCAAGAAUAAGCAAAGGCAAUAUGGUUCAGAGUGAAAAUCCCAUAGGAUUAGAAGAAUGACUAGAGAAGUGAUAGCAAAAUGGCCCAAUAUCAAAUCAUAAAAUUUCAUUGAGAAAGGUUCUUUAAGGUUCUGUCCUGAAUCUGACACUACUCACUGCUUACUAAUUAUCUGACAAUAUAUGGAAUGUGGAUGUAAAGAGGACAGGAAGAAGACAACAGCUAAAGGUGUGUUAGGGAACAGAAUUAGAAUUCAGGGUGAUUUUGACAAACUGGAGAGUUUUUUAAGGAAAAGAAAAAUGCAACAGAAAAGAUGAUAUUCAAAAGUUGCAAGUGUAGAAAAUCAGACAUGGAGUCACUAGUUGCCCGGAUACAGGAAGGGGAAAAGUAAACAGGAUUGCAGUUUCAUAGAAAAAAACAUAGAGUGAAUCACAGGCUAGACACGAGUCAACACUCUUACGCUGCUAUAAAAAGGCAAAUGCCAUAUGAGGGUGUAGGAGAAGGAAGAGAGAAUGCAAAAUAGGCCAAGCAAUUAUUUUGCUCUGAUAACUGAUUGCAAUUGGAGUUUAUCUUUCUUAAAAUGUUUUUCACCAGAAAGAUGACUGGCAUGGGACACUGCACUCUGUGGCAUUGAGUGCCAGAAAACAAGAACACAAGGAUUCUAACAGCACUGUUUUGCUUAAUGAGUGAAACAAUACAAAGGAGAGAGAGACUUAAAACGUGCAAAAGGCUGCCCAGUGAAUAAAAUGAAGUCUUUCUAAGAAACAAUUGCACAAAGAACUCGGUGUGGGAAUGGCUGGAGGAAAUCCUACAGCUUUCCAUAUUCAGAAAGGGAAAAAGGAUGUCUCCUUUCCAAAAGGAAGAAGAGCCUCUGUUCAGAGGUGCCUCAUGCAGACAGAUGGUCUGAUAAGAAAUCACCCCAUGUUUUCAGUGGGAAACCAGCACGAAUUUGCACGACCAAGCUUUGCCCAUGCUGCCUGCCUACCGCCAGCUCUUGUAACAGCUGCGUCCUGUUUCUGUGCAGCCCUGCAGCGGUGCCGGAAAGACACUACCCAGGGGGUCGGGCUGCUGGGGAACAACCUGAAAUAAAAGCUGAGCCAAGAAAUGGAAUUGCACAGCUUUGCUUUGCUCCAUUUCUGAAGAAAAGUUAGUCUCCUUUUUGUACAGAUGACGUGAAAAACAUUGCAAUCGUCCUCCACCCAACAGUGAGCCUGAUGGGUGAGAAUACCCAUUGGUGUUGCCCAUGUGGCAUUGCAGGCAUUUUAGGGAAUGAGCAGCUCUAACCCCAAGCAUACUCAGGGCCAGCACACCUGCAUCUGAGGGGCAGCAGGAGAACCAACACUUGAAAUUUCAACACCAAACCCUCCAUGCCACAGAUACAGGAGAGGUGUGACGAUCAUUUAGAGGCCCCACAACCAGGCCUGUAGGACACAAGCAAUGCUUCUGGGAGACAGGAGAUGGUAGGAACCUGUCCUUCCGACUCAAGGGCACAGUGCCUUCCUCUUGCACCACCACGCACCCCCGCACCAUCCUGUGCUGCAUCACAAGAGCGUGGAGUUUAUUAUUAUUUAUUACGAUUGCCGUUGCUGCUGCUACCAAUAUUACUUCAGUAGAAGAGCUUCGUACUGCCCCACUUCCGAGCUUCUACGAGCAGACGCUCCCAACCCGAGGGAGGCCGCCUACUCCGCCUCUUGCGCCUUCAUUAGGCGGGGCCCGCAGCUCGGCCGCCCCUUCUCGAUGUCUCCACACUCCAUCGAUGUCUUCGGGCGGCGGCUGCCGGUGCCUGCUCCCGCCGGACGCGGAGGCGCUGCCGGGAGCGGCGCUGCCCCAGGUGCCGGAUACGAGCGCGGCGGCGGCGGCGGCCGGUGAGUGACAGCGAGCGGCCUCCCGCCCCUCCCUUCCUCCGCCGGGCGCUGCGGAGCCGGCUCCCAGCGGGGCAGCCCCGGUCCUCCCCCAUUGCGCUGGGGCGGAGACCGUCCCCAUCCCGGGGGGGAGACCGAGGCG
Molecule: long non-coding RNA, 2064 nt
Filed under: Coturnix japonica (Japanese quail)
Lineage: Eukaryota; Metazoa; Chordata; Aves; Galliformes; Phasianidae
Description: lncRNA (ENSCJPG00005015628.1)
Source: RNAcentral